UGAACCUCAGGUUGCCCAGGUGUUGGGCCACGUCUAUCAGUGUCCCUGAUAAAGGCUCUGGAUCCUGCAGUGUACUGAAAUGACAUACGAGCUGCCAGUCUGGCCUCCUCCUCCGCUCUCAGGAACUGGUGGAGAUUCGCAAACUCACUCUUGAUCUGUCCUGCUGUGGUCUGGGCCUGGGUCUGGAACAGUACAACAAGAUAGACAUGUAGUAUCUGUGUAGGCCUCCACUAUGUUCCUCAGUUUCAUGUUGGACAUGGAGGGAUGGAAAUCGACCAUGGAAUGCCUUCGCCUGCAGACGGGGCAUUCGCGCUGCUUUUGUUGUAUCCAUGCUGGUGUUUCCAGGCAGCCGCGGCAGAAGCUGUGUUGGCAUUUCAGACUCACGGGGUCCUGGAAAAAUUCAAAGCAGAUGGGACAGCUGAGCUCGUCCUCCAGAGCUGCUGUAGGUCCCUGCUGGAGCAUCCUCUUCCUCGGGUAGAGUCAGGUAAAGGCCUUUCUCUCCAGAAUACAGUAUGAACUAGCGACUGUACAUUUGUACAUGCGUCAUUACAACCGUACCCUUACCUUCGCUUGUUCACCAACCCACUGCACGGAAUGUAGGUUUACAGUGCUUGAUUACCUAUUAACAUUUAGUCCGUACCUGUGAUCAAAGUUUAUCCCAGUUAUCCAAUUCAUGCCAAGGCAGAGGUCGCAUAACAUAGCAAUGAAGUCAUUCCUUUGGCACAUGUUGCUGUAUCUCAAGUAAGUGAUAGUGUCUCAGUCGUUCAACAACAACAACACCCCGACAGAAACAGCCACACUUGGUGUCAUGUACAACAGAUCCAAGGCACUGAACAAAGCAGUGUAGAUGCCUGGCAUCUGUUGUUUUGUAAGAAUGUUUGAUGGGAGAAAAAAAAGCUUUUACUGUAGGACUAGUAACUGAUUGACACUUAUUAACCAAUAAUAACUGGUUGGCACUGAUUAACCAAUAAUAACUGGUUGGCACUAAUUUGACACUGAGGUGGUAACAGCCUCAGCCAUAAUUGCCAGUCUGACACACUGCCAAAUCAACUUCAAAAACCUUCUACUCUGAGAGAUGAUUCUGGUCUGUUCUGAUCAGCUAUAACGCAUGGAUUCUGAUAGCAGAACCAGUUAAAAGGCUUUGGCAUCUUGUAACCCAGCACCAUCUGAACUGCAACCCGGCAUAACAAGCUCUGUCAGGCUCAGAGUAGCCUCACAAGUCAGCCGACCAUCAGCUAGUGACUAUUAUAUAAUAGGAUUCUGUUGUGACGUUCAGUUGUGAAAGCUGCCAAAAGGGGGUAGUAGAGCACUGCUAUGGCAGCUGUAUUGUAGUCAGUCACAAUGGAUGAUGUCUGGGGCCCAUUCUUAAGAGGCUAUUAAGUGAAUAUUGAUUAUUUGGCAGAUGAAAUCCCAUGUUACUUUUUAGGGCACAGCUCUAGGCAGACAUGAGAGCAUCUAAUCAAAUAAAGUGUUUUACACAAUA
Molecule: long non-coding RNA, 1483 nt
Organism: Salvelinus fontinalis (brook trout)
Lineage: Eukaryota; Metazoa; Chordata; Actinopteri; Salmoniformes; Salmonidae
Exons: 3
Source: RefSeq, a predicted model, not a curated record